AUUGAACGCUGGCGGCAGGCCUAACACAUGCAAGUCGAGCGGUAACACAGAGGAGCUUGCUCCUUGGGUGACGAGCGGCGGACGGGUGAGUAAUGCCUGGGGAUCUGCCCGAUAGAGGGGGAUAACUACGGGAAACUGUAGCUAAUACCGCAUAAUGUCUACGGACCAAAGUGGGGGCUCUUCGGACCUCAUGCUAUCGGAUGAACCCAGGUGGGAUUAGCUAGUUGGUGAGGUAAUGGCUCACCAAGGCGACGAUCUCUAACUGGUUUGAGAGAAUGACCAGUCACACUGGAACUGAGACACGGUCCAGACUCCUACGGGAGGCAGCAGUGGGGAAUAUUGCACAAUGGGCGCAAGCCUGAUGCAGCCAUGCCGCGUGUGUGAAGAAGGNCUUCGGGUUGUAAAGCACUUUCAGCGGGGAGGAAGGGCUACUAGCUAAUACCUAGUGGCAUUGACGUUACUCGCAGAAGAAGCACCGGCUAACUCCGUGCCAGCAGCCGCGGUAAUACGGAGGGUGCAAGCGUUAAUCGGAAUUACUGGGCGUAAANCGCACGCAGGCGGUUUG
This 565-nucleotide ribosomal RNA is filed under the name uncultured prokaryote. Its description in RNAcentral is "bacterial SSU rRNA". It matches the Rfam family "Bacterial small subunit ribosomal RNA", at positions 28 to 582 of the family's 1533-position model. The record is from RNAcentral.